ACGUUGUCUGCUAUACGCA
Molecule: ribosomal RNA, 19 nt
Filed under: Trichomonas sp. 2 AP-2012
Lineage: Eukaryota; Parabasalia; Trichomonadida; Trichomonadidae
Description: partial 28S ribosomal RNA
Source: RNAcentral